Molecule: long non-coding RNA, 3838 nt
Filed under: Triticum aestivum (bread wheat)
Lineage: Eukaryota; Viridiplantae; Streptophyta; Magnoliopsida; Poales; Poaceae
Description: long non-coding RNA (TAES_LNC002520)
Source: RNAcentral
AUGCACAAAACAACAUGUUUUUUAUUUGAUUAAUCAAUUAGCAAAUCUGAUAUACAUAAUGGUUCUUGUUUUUUCGCAAUGCUAUGUACAGUUGAAUUGUCUCUUAGGUGAGCAGCUUUUUGUAACCAUCAGUACAUGUUCUUUCUAUUGCGGAGUUAUUUUCUUCCCAACUCAGUUCAAAUCGAUGUGCUUGUCCCCAUAUUCCCAAGAGCCAGCUCAACACUCAUCGUUGUAUUAUUGUUGUUCUUGUUCUCCCAACAGCUUCGCUAGCUUUUCUAAAAAGAAAAAGUGUGCCGCUAGGUAUUUAUGGGUUGCCUCUAGCCAGCAAGAUGAAUUGAUGUUCGGUCUCCGCUGCUUGUCUCAGGCAGCGCCACAACGUCAGUCUCGGCGUCCUGACCUGAAUGGAUUUGGACGAAAGGGGGAGAUAGUUAAGAAAACAAACAAAUAGUUUGUGAAAAAGGAACAAAUAAUCUGUGCGUCCACUGCUCUAUUAUAUUACAAAGACAAAAUUGUUGCGCACAAGAUAUAAAGAGAGGAUCAUCAUAAACCUAUGAGAGAAUGUUAUUUGGAAACUAAUGUUUUGUUCCAUGGGCCACAUGUAAAACAGGUGAAGGUUAAUUUUACGUACGUGUGUGUUGGAGCCUUGGAGGAAGCAUCUCAGUUACACAUUGAGUUGAGUUAUGUAUAAGAUAAUUGCCCAGUAGGUGCUAAGAAAAUAUAAAACAUAUAUAAGGUGUAAUUUUUUAAACAGAACCUACUAUUUUCAGAUGUAAUUGUUAAAUUAGUGAAAUAGUAUACUUGGAAUAUGUGCUUUAAUUUCUCUUGCCCAGAUAAAUCGGUUUGUCAGCUAUAAAUUAAGGCAGAUGAUACCAGAAUUCUAUUUAUAUGUACUCCCUCCGUCCCAUAAUAUAAGAUCGUCAGCUUGCAAAACGAUAUUAUAUUAUGGGACGGAGGGAGGAGGAAGUAUGUAUUAAUUAGAGAAUGAAAACAAGUUUGACAUUGUCCUUUCAACUAUAAGUAUAAAGAAUGAGGUCAGACGUAGAAUUACCCAAAUGGCAGCUAUUGGACGGUGGCAGUAUGAAAAACAGUGCACCACAAAAAAACAUAAAUAGCAUGAAUCGACCAUAUAAAUAGAAGGUGGUUGUAUAUUUACUGACCACUUUAUUUUUCUGCAUGAUGGGAAAGGCCAUUGAAAGUAUUUCCGAACCGCCGUAGAAAUCCAAUCGGGUUAAGAUGCUUAAUACCCCGCAAAAAAAGGGUUAAGGUGCUUAAUGAUAUGAACUUAUACUGAUGAUUGGUACACAUGCAAAUUAGCUCAAGUUUGUCCUUUUCUCUGAUAAUGACACAACUCUAAUAAUUUCUUAUUACCGCAAAUACCAUACCACAGCACAAAUAUAUUUUAUACAUAGUGGCAUAUUACUGGCAUAAUAAUGUUCACAUAAGACAUUUUCGAGAUGCAGAUACAAUUAAACUGGAUAUAAUAUGUCUUGAAUAUUAGGUUAGUAUAUUUUGGAUGUAUCCUUUUCUAUGAUACUGAUAGAACACUAAAGAAUUUUUAGCACCAUCAACACCAAAUAUACCAUGCAUACCAUAAAUAUUUCUUUAUACACACUGGAAAUUGCUGUUAUAAUAUUCUUCUGGCAAGUCAUUUCGAGAUGUAGAUAAGAUUAAACUGGACAUAACAUGUCUGGAUUCCUAGGUUAAACUUUUUAGGAAGUUUCUUUUUCUUUAAUACAGAGACAACCCACUGGCAUACACAUGCAUUCACAGGCCUUAAAUCAUAGGCUAUCACUAGCUAGUCGGAUUACAUAGUGAAUCAAUUGCAACGAUAGUUAAUUGUUUAGUAUAUGCUACACCAUGAUAUGGAAAAUUAGUCACGGAUGACCAAGGCUCAAGUACCAAUGCGGGAGCCCGCCGGCUAGGAAGUUAAUCAAGAAUAGUGUCAUCGAGAACAUUAGUAGUCUAACUGAAAGAGGAAAGCAUGAAAGCAUGUACAUACCGUUGUCAAACGCUAUAAUUGAAUCCCCAUAUGGUGCAAACGUGUUGCUACCAUGGGGGCGCACAACCUGCACCCAGACAUGUCCAUGGAUUGCACAAGCAUGAGACUAAUAAAUUUCAGGCAAUUCAGGAGGUUUGGUCGCCAGACCGAUCUCAACCACACCAGAUCGAGACAAUAAUAUAAGUUGCAAGUACACAAUCUAGAAGAGAUAACCCUCGAUCCCUGCCACAAAUCUCAAAUAGGCUAUUUCGAUUGUUCAAUUACAUAGUCAAAGAAACAAAUCCAAUUAGAAAAACACAAACGAGUUCACUCGAGUAGCCAAAUCGUCUCCGUCGGAUGGAAGGGCAAGAAAACCGAUCAAGAAUGGCGCCGGAUGUGGAUUCGGCUGCAGCUUGGCAGAUUGGACUUGAUGCGCAUGGUCGAGCCAAGAUCAAACAGUGGACAUGGACAUGCGUUGUCCUACCAUCUGACUGCUCAAUGUCCAGCUCCAGCCGGUUGCAAUUUAUUGGAGAAGUGAAACAAGCGAGGGCAUGGAGGCCACAUCGAGGCCGUGCAGGAACAAUAAUCCAUAGAACAACCAAUUGCAUGCACGGGAUUAACAUGGAGAGGAUAUUUGUUUAGAAAUUGCUUCAGGUUGUUGCUUUUCUUCUUGGGAAAAGAAGAGGCUAUCAAGUUAUAGGUAGAAAAAAAGAUCAUGGCUUGAUUGAUUGAGAUGGGAGGUUUUUUUUCAUUUUUUGAACAGAGAAAAAAGAUCAUGGAGUUUAGUUUUUCUUAAAGGUACAAACUGACUGAUAUGGGAUCCCCCCCCCCCCGCCCUCUAUUUUGUUGAGUUUUUUCUGGCCAAGGAUUUUAUGGAUCAAUCUACACCGUAAUAAUUUGGACCCACCAGAUAAACGGCUCGUAAUUCAUAAUUAUCGUGCGAAUUUCUUGGAAGUCUAUAAUUAAUAGAAGUAUAUAGAUAUAGAUAGAUAUAAAUAUAGAUAUAUGUAGAAGUCAGGGGCGGAACCAGGAUUUGAGUAUAGGGGGGGCCAAGCCAAGCUACUAAUAGAAAUUUAGGACAGAAAAUAGCUAUCAUAAUAUUUCGCUUCAUGAUGUAAAAACAACACUACAAUUAUAUCAGCUUAAAUUUGCCUCUAGGAUUGCCAAUAAGAUCAAAUUUUUAAUAAUUUGAGCAGAGGAAAACUUAGCUGCUAAUUCUCUUUCAAUGUAUAUUAUAAUGUAGUGCUGAAGCUAGCUAAUCUCCCUUUUAGUUCGAGAAUUCAAAGCAAUAUGCUUAAAAAAUGAGUUGAUCGUUAGUGUGUUUGACGGUAAUUUUCCCUUCAUAAUUGCUGAACUAGAAGUCUUGGAAUUAACAUCACAUAUCACACAACUGAAACACCUAAAUAUGAUUUCUAUUUAUUUCAAGUACAGGAUCAAAAUUGAGAGAGAUUAGUACUACUUCUUCCAGCCCCAUGUAAUGACGCAACCCAUCCAGGCACACAACGACGACAUUUAAUUAGGGCCAGGGGGAUUACUAGACAGUCUUAGGUAGUUCUAACCUUGGAUAGAUGUGUAGUGCGUUUGCUGGAGAAGAAUUGCAGCCAAAGAGAUGGGCACUUGAGCAGAUUGGCCGUAGGUUAAUCACGGAGGGCAGGUGGCAGCAGGGGCGAAUGGCGGCUCUGCAGCAGAACGAUCUCGCAAAUCUCAUAGGUUAAUCACGGAGAGUUGCCGCACUUACGCUAGGGCUAGGAAAGGGCCAAGGAGAUCACCUAGGGACUGCUAUGAAUGGGCUUUCUCAUGGACCUAUUCCCCUUUUUCAGAUUUACAGAGAUAGGGGGGGCCAGUACACGUAAUCACCUC